RNAcentral lists this long non-coding RNA (564 nucleotides) under Setaria italica (foxtail millet). RNAcentral's name for it is "long non-coding RNA (SITA_LNC005235)". Lineage: Eukaryota; Viridiplantae; Streptophyta; Magnoliopsida; Poales; Poaceae. The record is from RNAcentral.
UUCGGAAGGGGGAAUAAUAAUAAGAACAUUUCUUCAACUGCAUGCUACAAGAUUGCUCGAUAGCUACGCGCUAGCUAGCGAGACGCGUGGGAUAGAUGGCUCCUCGUACGCCCGACGCCCGGCCCGUCAGAAGAUUCAGACGUCGACGGUGCAGUCGGCGGGGUGGGUGAACUUGAGGGAGACGGUGGUGUUGACGCCGGCGGGGACGGCGGCGCCGCUGACGGCGAACGCCCCUCCCACGGCGGCGCCCGAGGUGGCGAGCAGGGCGGGGCAGUUGACGAAGAGGUGGUACCCGCCGGAGACCCAGCUCCCGACCUUCCACUUGACGCGGCCUUCCAGCUUGACGUGGAGGAGCACGUACCCGGCCGAGAUGUCCUGCCUCAUGGCGUCCGCCACGUACUGCGACACGGGGACGGCGUCCCCGGACAUGACGGGGGACCACACCGACGCGUCCUUGUGGCCCUGGUAGAUCGACGGCAGCGACACGGGCACCGUCACCGGCUCGUCCCGGUACGUCGUGAACGCGUCCAGGGUCUUGUAGUACACGCCCACGCGCUCGUUCGG